UUGCCACUGUGAUGUUGGCCCGGUUCACUCAGAAAAAAGACGCUGCGUUUUCCAAGCAGAAAGCUUGAGGUUCUUACGUAGCUUGAUGGUCUUUGAUUGAGCCGUGCCAAUAUCUUAGUGCCCUUU
RNAcentral lists this microRNA precursor (126 nucleotides) under Cephalotus follicularis. The record is from RNAcentral. Lineage: Eukaryota; Viridiplantae; Streptophyta; Magnoliopsida; Oxalidales; Cephalotaceae.